UACGGAGGGUGCGAGCGUUGUCCGGAAUCACUGGGCGUAAAGGGCGCGUAGGUGGCGCGGCAAGUCAACGGUGAAAGCUCGACGCUCAACGUCGAGUCGGCCGUCGAUACUGCCGCGCUGGAGCACUGUAGAGGCUCAUGGAAUUCCGGGUGUAGCGGUGGAAUGCGUAGAGAUCCGGAAGAACACCGGUGGCGAAGGCGGUGAGCUGGGCAGUAGCUGACACUGAGGCGCGACAGCGUGGGGAGCGAACAGG
RNAcentral lists this ribosomal RNA (253 nucleotides) under uncultured bacterium. RNAcentral's name for it is "partial 16S ribosomal RNA". It matches the Rfam family "Bacterial small subunit ribosomal RNA", at positions 524 to 776 of the family's 1533-position model. The record is from RNAcentral.